GGUGAGGUUCCCGAGUGGUUAAAGGGAGCAGACUGUAAAUCUGCCGGUGAAUGCCUUCGGAGGUUCGAAUCCUCCCCUCACCACCA
RNAcentral lists this transfer RNA (86 nucleotides) under Deltaproteobacteria bacterium. RNAcentral describes it as "tRNA-Tyr". It matches the Rfam family "tRNA". From Rfam's summary of the family: Transfer RNA (tRNA) molecules are approximately 80 nucleotides in length. The record is from RNAcentral. RNAcentral also lists the same sequence under 1 other name. Lineage: Bacteria; Pseudomonadati; Myxococcota; Myxococcia.